AACGAACGCUGGCGGCGCGUCUUAAACAUGCAAGUCGAACGGCAAGAGAGAAGCUUGCUUUUCUCCUAGAGUGGCGGACUGGUGAGUAACACGUGGGUGACAAACCUUUUAGCUGGGGAUAGCUGCUAGAAAUAGUAGAUAAUACCGAAUGUGACCGUAUUU
Molecule: ribosomal RNA, 162 nt
Filed under: uncultured Treponema sp.
Lineage: Bacteria; Pseudomonadati; Spirochaetota; Spirochaetia; Treponematales; Treponemataceae
Description: partial 16S ribosomal RNA
Rfam family: Bacterial small subunit ribosomal RNA
Source: RNAcentral